UACGAAGGGGGCUAGCGUUGUUCGGAAUUACUGGGCGUAAAGCGUGCGCAGGCGGCUGCUCAAGUCAGGGGUGAAAUCCUGGAGCUCAACUCCAGAACUGCCUUUGAUACUGAAGAUCUUGAGUUCGGGAGAGGUGAGUGGAACUGCGAGUGUAGAGGUGAAAUUCGUAGAUAUUCGCAAGAACACCAGUGGCGAAGGCGGCUCACUGGCCCGAUACUGACGCUGAGGCACGAAAGCGUGGGGAGCAAACAGG
This 253-nucleotide ribosomal RNA is filed under the name uncultured bacterium. RNAcentral describes it as "partial 16S ribosomal RNA". It matches the Rfam family "Bacterial small subunit ribosomal RNA", at positions 524 to 776 of the family's 1533-position model. The record is from RNAcentral.